CACAACUGAAAGCUUUGAGAGAGGCUGCUGCUAAUGAGGUCUUAAAGAUGGGAUUUUACUUGAAGACUGUUAAUUUGUGUAACCAUACCUGUUGCUGCAAUGGAAGAUUGUCUCUUCCUGUAAAACCUUGUUCUGAUGAAGUGAUGGGACUUUUGGUUUAUUUGAGCAAAAAGCAGCCUAUGAGCAGCAGUCAGUGUCUCUGUCAUGGAAGAAACUAUUACCCAAACAGAUGAAGAGAUUCAUUAUUUCACAGUUUUAUGCCUACUGAGCCAUACUAGACUGUAAAUACUGUUCAAGACUCUAUAGGGGCCAUCUUCCAUUUAGGAGAGAGUGGGUGAAAGAACAAGGAAAGAGUAAGGAGAAAAAUGGAAGUGAGAAUGAUCAAAAAUCAAAUAUAUCAAGAUUGUGAUAGUCUAGAAACCAACCAAACACUCUUCAAGUGCAACAAUGAAAGAAAGAGAGAAAGAGUGAGUGAGAGAAUUGUCCCUGCCUGCCU
Molecule: long non-coding RNA, 496 nt
Organism: Nothoprocta perdicaria
Lineage: Eukaryota; Metazoa; Chordata; Aves; Tinamiformes; Tinamidae
Exons: 2
Source: RefSeq, a predicted model, not a curated record